AACUUUCAGCAACGGAUCACUUGGCUCUCGCAUCGAUGAAGAACGCAGCGAAAUGCGAUAAGUAAUGUGAAUUGCCGAUUUUCAGUGAAUCAUCGAAUCUUUGAACGCACCUUGCGCUCCUUGGUAUUACGAGGAGCAUGCCUGUUUGAGUGUCAUUAAAUUCUCAACCGCCGGAUGUUUCGACCUCCGGUUGGCUUGGACUUGGAGUGUGCUGGCGAAAGUCGGCUCCUCUCAAAUGCAUCAGCGGAAUUCAACCUUUGGCUUCCGGACAUCAGUGUGAUAACAACGUUGCGCUGUCGUCUGAAAUCGAAGAGUCCGCUUCAUAAUGGUCUUCGGACAAACAUUGACAAUCAGAUUUGACCUCAAAUCAGGUAGGACUACCCGCUGAACUUAAGCAUAUCAAUAAGCGGAGGCU
RNAcentral lists this unclassified non-coding RNA (415 nucleotides) under uncultured Atheliaceae. RNAcentral's name for it is "sequence contains ITS2". The stretch from base 1 to 155 matches the Rfam family "5.8S ribosomal RNA". The record is from RNAcentral. Lineage: Eukaryota; Fungi; Basidiomycota; Agaricomycetes; Atheliales; Atheliaceae.